RNAcentral lists this ribosomal RNA (118 nucleotides) under Pteropus alecto (black flying fox). Lineage: Eukaryota; Metazoa; Chordata; Mammalia; Chiroptera; Pteropodidae. The record is from RNAcentral.
AUUUAUGGCCAUGCCACCCUGAAUGUGCCAAUCUCUUCUGAUCUCGGAAGCUAAGCAGGGUCAGGCUUGGUUAGUACUUAGAUGGGAGACCACCUAGGAAGACCAGGUGCUUUUGGCA